ACUCGGAAACGGCGGCGGAUACUAUCCGGCUCGAGGGUUGGAAGGGGGACUGGAAUUCUCGGUGUAGCAGUGAAAUGCGUAGAUAUCGAGAGGAACACCAGUGGCGAAGGCGAGUCCCUGGACAACCCCUGACGCUGAGGCACGAAAGCUAGGGGAGCAAACAGGAUUAGAUACCCUGGUAGUCCUAGCCGUAAACGGUGCACGUUUGCUGUAAGCGGAUUCGACCCCGCUUGUGGCGAAGCUAACGCGUUAAACGUGCCGUCUGGGAAGUACGGUCGCAAGAUUAAAACUCAAAGAAAUUGACGGGGGCCUGCACAAGCGGUGGAGUAUGUGGCUCAAUUCGAUGCAACGCGAAGAACCUUACCUGGCCUUGACAUGUGGGUAGUAGAAGGGUGAAAGCCCGACGAGGUA
RNAcentral lists this ribosomal RNA (411 nucleotides) under uncultured bacterium. RNAcentral's name for it is "bacterial SSU rRNA". It matches the Rfam family "Bacterial small subunit ribosomal RNA", at positions 612 to 1019 of the family's 1533-position model. The record is from RNAcentral.